RNAcentral lists this unclassified non-coding RNA (345 nucleotides) under soil metagenome. RNAcentral describes it as "partial contains 5.8S ribosomal RNA, internal transcribed spacer 2, and large subunit ribosomal RNA". The stretch from base 1 to 120 matches the Rfam family "5.8S ribosomal RNA", at positions 35 to 154 of the family's 154-position model. The record is from RNAcentral.
GAUGAAGAACGUAGCGAACUGCGAUAAGUAAUGUGAAUUGCAGAAUUCAGAGAAUCAUCGAGUCUUUGAACGCACAUUGCGCCCCCUGGUAUUCCGGGGGGCAUGCCUGUCCGAGCGUCAUUGCUGCCCUCAAGCACGGCUUGUGUGUUGGGCCUCCGUCCUCCUCCCGGGGGACGGGCCCGAAAGGCAGCGGCGGCACCGCGUCCGGUCCUCGAGCGUAUGGGGCUUCGUCACCCGCUCUUGUAGGCCCGGCCGGCGCUUGCCGACACAUCAAUCUUUUUUCCAGGUUGACCUCGGAUCAGGUAGGGAUACCCGCUGAACUUAAGCAUAUCAAUAAGCGGAGGA